This 91-nucleotide transfer RNA is filed under the name Deferrivibrio metallireducens. RNAcentral describes it as "Deferribacteraceae bacterium V6Fe1 tRNA-Ser". It matches the Rfam family "tRNA". From Rfam's summary of the family: Transfer RNA (tRNA) molecules are approximately 80 nucleotides in length. RNAcentral also lists the same sequence under 1 other name. The record is from RNAcentral. Lineage: Bacteria; Pseudomonadati; Deferribacterota; Deferribacteres; Deferribacterales; Deferrivibrionaceae.
GGAGAGAUGUCCGAGUCUGGCCGAAGGAGCACGAUUGGAAAUCGUGUGUACCGUUCACCCGGUACCGAGGGUUCAAAUCCCUCUCUCUCCG